CCUCCUUACCAUCCCAAACAUUCGAUCAAAGCAAUCCAUCAACCACCGAAUUUUUUCACUUAAAUUAUUUUUAAAUUUCCAAUUACCAACGUAACUGAAGUUGUCGUUCAACAUAUCCAACGGCUCCCGUUUUACCGCUCGUCUUUAUUCUUAGAGACGGAUCCCAUUACCCCAAAACCCUAAUAAUUUCUCUUUGACAUGGCCGCCCUCAUUUCCUUUUCCUCUCUCUUUUUUCACAUCCCUCCCAACCUAUCGGUUAUGGAAAACUUGCAUGAAUUAGUGCAAUGUCACAAGACCUUCAGCAAAUCGUCAUUCCAUGCUUCUUCAUCCCUGAAUCCAGCUAAUUCUCCCUCUUUGCUCUUCAAAUAUGAGAGAUUAGACACGGACAGUAAGGUUGAAACCCUAUUCUUCGUUCUUUCAAAUGAAACUUACAGAUUCGCCUCUUUUUUCCCUAGGAGAUGAAAACAGUGACUCCAGUUUCCAUUCUCGUCGAUUGAAUUCAAAAACCCAAUUUGAUACCCUAGACCUAAAUGAUGAAACUUCAUUUCAUCUAGUUUCUCAACUCGUUCUUCCAAAUCGGAGCAUGCAUGUUUACGUCAGAUCUUCAUCAUGAAUAUUUUGUACCUAGAGGUAAAACGUAGUGACCUAUGGGUCUUUGGUCUUUGUCUGAUAGGUUUUCUUUAAAACAGUCAAUUGCUCAGUUACUAUGCUUAGGUUGAAGUAUAUAUUUCAUAAAAUUGAUCUAAUAAAAUUGCUCAAUUACUAUGCUUAGGUUGAAGCCUUCUUCCUUUUUCCUCGGCUAGUAUUUCAGCAGCGACUUAAGCUAAUCCAAGUAUUAAAUUGUAAUUUAUCAUCCUAGCAACUUAACCAACAUAUAAGCAAAGCUUAAGCACAAUCAGUAGGUUGUUAUACUCACCAGUAGCAACAACUUGGAAUUUUAGCAAAACACAGCCCACAACAAUCCUCAAUGACAACACAACCUCAAAGACAAAGAGGUGUUGUUCUUCACAAGAACUAAGUUUU
This 1023-nucleotide long non-coding RNA is filed under the name Nicotiana benthamiana. RNAcentral's name for it is "long non-coding RNA (NBEN_LNC023191)". Lineage: Eukaryota; Viridiplantae; Streptophyta; Magnoliopsida; Solanales; Solanaceae. The record is from RNAcentral.